Molecule: transfer RNA, 39 nt
Filed under: Pyrus pyrifolia
Lineage: Eukaryota; Viridiplantae; Streptophyta; Magnoliopsida; Rosales; Rosaceae
Also listed under: 1 other name
Description: tRNA-Ala
Source: RNAcentral
GGGGAUAUAGCUCAGUUGGUAGAGCUCCGCUCUUGCAAU